Long non-coding RNA from Neogobius melanostomus (round goby), 508 nucleotides. NCBI's taxonomy places the organism in Eukaryota, Metazoa, Chordata, Actinopteri, Gobiiformes, Gobiidae. The record is from Ensembl.
CUCGGAGACGACCACAGACAACUGUUCAGUGAUUGAGUGGAGCUGCCUCAGUUUGAACUGCACACAGGUCUCCACAGCCACAGAGCGCCUGGAUCCAAACUCUGACGCCUUCUGUCAAACCAGAACAACCUCUGUGAUCCAGGUCUCCACAGACGCACCGUUUCAGAUGAGACUGGACGGUGGCUCUCAGCUUUGGGUCGACAAUAAUGAAAGUGUGAAGUCGGUCAGAGCCUUGUCAGUGGUGGACCUGAGGACUCGCUCUGACACUGGACAGAUGAACCGCCCCCCACAGGCCGCCAUCAUGUCCCCCAUACGAAUUCCUUCAAACUGUGCCAGACAAAUGCCUCUGCUGGCCUUCGAUCCUGACAGUGACCAGGUUUUGUGCCGAUUUGCCCGUGACGCUCCGUACGAGUGUGAUCCCUGUGCACCUUCAUCACUCGCUCCCUCGCUGACUCUCGCACCUGUAAGCAGCUUUCAAACUAACUAACCCUUCACAGUAUAUACUUAU